Molecule: ribosomal RNA, 497 nt
Filed under: uncultured bacterium
Lineage: Bacteria
Description: partial 16S ribosomal RNA
Rfam family: Bacterial small subunit ribosomal RNA
Source: RNAcentral
GAUGAACGCUGGCGGCGUGCCUAACACAUGCAAGUCGAACGACCAGACGAUGAGCUUGCUCCUCUGACGUUAGCGGCGGGCGGGUGAGUAACACGUGGAUAACCUACCUAUAUUUCUGGGAUAAUUACGGGAAACAGGCUCUAAUACCGGCUAAUAUCUUGCACCGCAUGGUUCAAUGGUGAAAGACGGUUUUUGUGUCACUUAUAGCUGCAUCCGCGCCGGAUUAGCUAGUUGGUAAGGUAACGGCGUACCAAGGCGACGAUGCGUAGCCGAACUGAGAGGAUGAUCGGCCACACUGGAACUGAGACACGGUCCAGACUCCUACGGGAGGCAGCAGUAGGGAAUCUUAGGCAAUGGGCGAAAGCCUGACCCAGCAACGCCGCGUGGGUGAUGAAGGCCUUCGGAUCGUAAAGCCCUUUUAUUGGGGAAGAACAACUGUGGAUGUAAACAUGGAUGUCUUGACGGUACCCAAUCAAAAAGCACCGGCUAACUACGUG